GACGAACGCUGGCGGCGUGCUUAACACAUGCAAGUCGAACGGAAAGGCCCUGCUUGCCGGGUACUCGAGUGGCGAACGGGUGAGUAACACGUGGGUGAUCUGCCCUGCACUUCGGGAUAAGCCUGGGAAACUGGGUCUAAUACCGGAUAGGAGCCAUUUUUAGUGUGAUGGUUGGAAAGUUUUUUCGGUGUAGGAUGAGCUCGCGGCCUAUCAGCUUGUUGGUGGGGUAAUGGCCUACCAAGGCGGCGACGGGUAGCCGGCCUGAGAGGGUGGACGGCCACAUUGGGUCUGAGAUACGGCCCAGACUCCUACGGGAGGCAGCAGUGGGGAAUAUUGCACAAUGGGCGCAAGCCUGAUGCAGCGACGCCGCGUGGGGGAUGACGGCCUUCGGGUUGUAAACUCCUUUCGCUAGGGACGAAGCUUUUUGUGACGGUACCUAGAUAAGAAGCACCGGCUAACUACGUG
Molecule: ribosomal RNA, 465 nt
Filed under: uncultured bacterium
Lineage: Bacteria
Description: partial 16S ribosomal RNA
Rfam family: Bacterial small subunit ribosomal RNA
Source: RNAcentral